AAAGAAUUUAAAGAGUGCACUUCAUUGUGGCUCGACAUUUUCUACCAUUCACCCUAGUGCACUGUAAUACCCUUUUUUAUUAGACUCUACAAAGUUAUUGAAUGUAACACUUUUUUAUAAAGAAAUAAAACUUUUAACAACGGAUCUCUUGGCUCUCGCAACGAUGAAGAACGCAGCGAAAUGCGAUAAGUAAUGUGAAUUGCAGAAUUCAGUGAAUCAUCAAAUCUUUGAACGCACCUUGCGCCCUUUGGUAUUCCGAAGGGCACACCUGUUUGAGUGUCAUUAAUCUCUCAACCCUAACAUUUUUUUAUUAGAAUGGUAGUGGCUGGAUGUUGAGCGUUGCUGGACCUUUUUUGGUUCAGCUCGCUUUAAAAUUAUGAGCAGGCUCCUACCAUUUCGGACUGACUCAACGUGAUAAGAAAUUUCGUUGAGGACGCUUUACAGCGGCCGAAUUGUAGGGAAAUGCCGCUGCUAGUUGACCCUUAUAUUUUAGACCUCAAAUCAGGUGGGACUACCCGCUGAGCUUAA
Molecule: ribosomal RNA, 528 nt
Filed under: uncultured fungus
Lineage: Eukaryota; Fungi
Description: eukaryotic LSU rRNA
Rfam family: 5.8S ribosomal RNA (bases 129-282)
Source: RNAcentral